AGAGAGAGAGAGAGAGAGAGAGAGAGAGUAUUUUAGUUAAGAGGAUAUUUUAGUAAAAAAACAUAGAGAAAGUGUCUACUCCUUUGGAAGUGCCUAAACACGGAAAUAAUUUUUAAAAAGUGUCUAAGAGUGUAAUAUUCUUUAUUUUUAAUAUGAUUUGUCUACAAAAAAAA
Molecule: small RNA, 173 nt
Filed under: Arabidopsis thaliana (thale cress)
Lineage: Eukaryota; Viridiplantae; Streptophyta; Magnoliopsida; Brassicales; Brassicaceae
Description: ATSL209410
Source: RNAcentral